GCGUUUCGUUCAUAAAAUGAACUUCAUCAGGGGCUUUACAGAGGACUGGAUGCCCCUGAUGAAGUUCAUUUUAUGAACGAAACGC
This 85-nucleotide microRNA precursor is filed under the name Pelobates cultripes (western spadefoot toad). The record is from RNAcentral. Lineage: Eukaryota; Metazoa; Chordata; Amphibia; Anura; Pelobatidae.